This 427-nucleotide ribosomal RNA is filed under the name uncultured Vibrio sp. RNAcentral describes it as "bacterial SSU rRNA". It matches the Rfam family "Bacterial small subunit ribosomal RNA", at positions 353 to 772 of the family's 1533-position model. Lineage: Bacteria; Pseudomonadati; Pseudomonadota; Gammaproteobacteria; Vibrionales; Vibrionaceae. The record is from RNAcentral.
AGUGGGGAAUAUUGCACAAUGGGCGCAAGCCUGAUGCAGCCAUGCCGCGUGUGUGAAGAAGGCCUUCGGGUUGUAAAGCACUUUCAGCAGUGAGGAAGGUAGUAAGUUUAAUACGCUUAUUGCUUGACGUUAGCUGCAGAAGAAGCACCGGCUAACUCCGUGCCAGCAGCCGCGGUAAUACGGAGGGUGCGAGCGUUAAUCGGAAUUACUGGGCGUAAAGCGCAUGCAGGUGGUUAAUUAAGUCAGAUGUGAAAGCCCGGGGCUCAACCUCGGAAGGCCAUUUGAAACUGGUUAACUAGAGUACUGUAGAGGGGGGUAGAAUUUCAGGUGUAGCGGUGAAAUGCGUAGAGAUCUGAAGGAAUACCGGUGGCGAAGGCGGCCCCCUGGACAGAUACUGACACUCAGAUGCGAAAGCGUGGGGAGCAAA